This is a long non-coding RNA of Pecten maximus, 435 nucleotides long. RefSeq lists it as uncharacterized. Lineage: Eukaryota; Metazoa; Mollusca; Bivalvia; Pectinida; Pectinidae. The record is from RefSeq and is a predicted model, not a curated record. The transcript is spliced from 3 exons.
UUUUAGCUACGAGUCCAUUUACUCGCCUAAAAACCACGCCCGUGUGUCAUGUCCCAUGUUGUGAUAUUACGUUCUUAUGAUGUGUUGUGCUUGUGCUCGUCAUGUAUGCUUUGUAACGUUAAUCUCCCAAGGUGUGUUGUUUGGUUAGUUAUGUAAGGUUGGUCAAGCGUUUCGAUUGGUUGGUUCUAGUGGUCAGUUUCGCGGGGUUUUCUUUGUCUCUGGCGGGUUGUGUCAGUACCCUUCGUGGACUCGUAGGUGACAAGACGUACCUUUUGACAACUAGUGCUAUAUCGCUGAAGUUGUUCAUCAUAAAUGCAAGUUGGUGUAUGGCUCUGUGCCACGACACAGGGUGUUUCACUCAAUUUGUCAAAUAAAAGAUGACAAGAUAACUCAAGAGGUUGUGGUCUUCUGUACCCCAAUUACCCCCUCUGCCAC